RNAcentral lists this ribosomal RNA (300 nucleotides) under uncultured Hyphomicrobium sp. Its description in RNAcentral is "bacterial SSU rRNA". It matches the Rfam family "Bacterial small subunit ribosomal RNA", at positions 114 to 431 of the family's 1533-position model. The record is from RNAcentral. Lineage: Bacteria; Pseudomonadati; Pseudomonadota; Alphaproteobacteria; Hyphomicrobiales; Hyphomicrobiaceae.
CACGUGGGAACCUUCCCUAUAGUACGGAAUAGCCCAGGGAAACUUGGAGUAAUACCGUAUACGCCCGAAAGGGGAAAGAAUUAUCGCUAUAGGAUGGGCCCGCGUAGGAUUAGCUAGUUGGUGAGGUAAUGGCUCACCAAGGCGACGAUCCUUAGCUGGUUUGAGAGAACGACCAGCCACACUGGGACUGAGACACGGCCCAGACUCCUACGGGAGGCAGCAGUGGGGAAUAUUGGACAAUGGGCGCAAGCCUGAUCCAGCCAUGCCGCGUGAGUGAUGAAGGCCUUAGGGUUGUAAAGC